This 377-nucleotide unclassified non-coding RNA is filed under the name uncultured Paenibacillaceae bacterium. RNAcentral describes it as "contains 16S-23S intergenic spacer region". Lineage: Bacteria; Bacillati; Bacillota; Bacilli; Caryophanales; Paenibacillaceae. The record is from RNAcentral.
UCCGGCUUAUCACCGGCAGUCCCUCUAGAGUGCCCAACUCAAUGCUGGCAACUAAAGGCGAGGGUUGCGCUCGUUGCGGGACUUAACCCAACAUCUCACGACACGAGCUGACGACAACCAUGCACCACCUGUCUCCCCUGUCCCGAAGGCCUACAAUAUCUCUACUGUAUUCAGGGGGAUGUCAAGACCUGGUAAGGUUCUUCGCGUUGCUUCGAAUUAAACCACAUACUCCACUGCUUGUGCGGGUCCCCGUCAAUUCCUUUGAGUUUCAGUCUUGCGACCGUACUCCCCAGGCGGAAUGCUUAAUGUGUUAACUUCGGCACCAAGGGUAUCGAAACCCCUAACACCUAGCAUUCAUCGUUUACGGCGUGGACUAC